RNAcentral lists this ribosomal RNA (207 nucleotides) under uncultured bacterium. RNAcentral's name for it is "partial 16S ribosomal RNA". It matches the Rfam family "Bacterial small subunit ribosomal RNA", at positions 568 to 774 of the family's 1533-position model. The record is from RNAcentral.
CACGUAGGUGGCAAGGUAAGUCAAAGGUGAAAGCCCUCGGCUCAACCGAGGAACUGCCUUUGAAACUGCUUUGCUUGAGUCCGGGAGGGGGGAGCGGAAUUCCCAGUGCAGCGGUGAAAUGCGUAGAUACUGGGAGGAACACCGGUGGCGAAGGCGGCUCCCUGGACCGGUACUGACACUGAGGUGCGAAAGCGUGGGUAGCAAACA